This 2319-nucleotide long non-coding RNA is filed under the name Lathyrus oleraceus (garden pea). RNAcentral's name for it is "Pisum sativum (pea) long non-coding RNA (PSAT_LNC033635)". The record is from RNAcentral. Lineage: Eukaryota; Viridiplantae; Streptophyta; Magnoliopsida; Fabales; Fabaceae.
AUAUCCAAAUGACAUACGACAACACAUAAAAUAUAUUAGGUGUUUGCGUCUUCUCUAGGGACUUUCAAUUAAAAACUAAAUUUGUAAACUCUUAAAGGUAUUUAUUUAUCUCCUGGGAUUAAGCAAUCCACGCACUAUUUUACAUUUACAAUAAGUGUUGCUUAUGCAUUUUCCUCUAUAAGGAGGCCGGCAAUAUAUUUUAUUUUGAUAAUCUGAAUCAUCAAAACAUUCGAUUCUCUCUGCUGCAAUAAAAAAACACUAUAUGGUUAUUAAAAUGAAAAGAAAUAUAACGUAUGAAAUAAAACAGAACAUUUAAAAUGAAUGAACAAAAGUUACCUUUAAUUUUCGUUCCAAUAAAAAAUAGAAAGAAUAAUAUAAUCAUAACAUAAGGAAAAUUUAUUACUUCUACCAUAUUUCUCCUCGUUAUUUUUAAUAAAUUAUUUUGUAACUUUAUAGUUUAUGAAUAAGAGUGGAUCCUCGCCUUUAAUAAUUUUUACUUGUGGACACUUAGUUGUAAAAUAAAUCUUAAAAUUAAAUUAAUUAGUAUAUAACUUUUCGAUACAUCAUUUUGUUGUCUUUGUCUCUUCAGCAUAUCCAAAAAAGAUGUAAAAUAAAACUUGUCUAUCAUAAAAAUAUAUUCUUCUUAUAAAAAAUUUUUAAUCAUUUUAUAUUAUUUUACCUCGGAUGUGAAUGGGAGAUUACCUCAGUUAUAGAGAUGGGAUACCAAAGAGCGUCAUAAAAAACUAACAUCUUAUAGAUCGGUUUUGAAUAACCGAGGGGAAAGGUGAAAAAGUCAUUCAUUUGAUCCCCAGUGUAGGUCGGAUUUUUUUAAUAAUUGAGGGGUAUAACCAAUGUUUUUUAAAAUUCCAUUUUGACUGACCUUGAUCAUUUUCUAUAUAGAUCCUACAAAUUAGGUGACAGAAUCAUAUCAUUUGUAUUUUAUUUAGAAUAUAAAACAAAAUACCAAUUUUACAUUGUUUAUAAAAGCAAAUGUACAAUCCUUGCAAUACUUAUCGUGAUAUUUGAUAUACACAAAACCUAUUCCAAGAGAACCUAUACAUAUUUGCACCUAAAUUGACAAAACAUUUACACAAUGCUAGUGUAUAGUUAAAAAUCAAGAAAAACUAGUGUUGACUAGAUUCAUAAUGACAUAAGAAGACACUUGCACAACGUGAUCGGAUGUCAUCUAUAUCCUCUUGUGGAAAUGGUGUUUUAUUGCUAGACGCUUAUAAUUUGAACAAAAUUUAAAUUAUGAUAAGUUAACUACAACAAUAAUAAAUUAACAAUUAUACAUAAAUUACAUGUAUAUGGAUAAAGUUAAUACCUUAUUCAAUGAAUUAAUAAUGCCAUUAGAGAAAAUAUUAGACAUAUGUAUCAUAGUAUUAUAUCGACAUAUAAAGUUCUGUGAAUACAUAAAUUACAUGUAUAUGGAUAAAGUUAAUACCUUAUUCAAUGAAUUAAUAAUGCCAUUAGAGAAAAUAUUAGACAUAUGUAUCAUAGUAUUAUAUCGACAUAUAAAGUUCUGUGAUUAUCUUUGCUGCUACAAAUAAUUUUCAUAUUGUUACUAAUUAAUACACAAAAGACAUAAGUAAUACAUUAGAGAAACUAAAAUAAUAUCAAAAAGCAUAAGUAAUACUUACACGUGGUUCUAUGAACUUUAGCUUUUUACCCUGUAUAUUACGUUUCACAAAAUUGUAUCCCUCCAAAUCAUUACAUGAUGGUAAAAAUCAAACAUGAAUAAAACUUUUCAAAACUAAAGGUAAAAUUUGAGUAUUCCAAAUAAUACCACUUACGCACUUAAAAUCUUUUGUAUAUCUUCAUCAAGAUGACAAUGUAACCAGCAUAACAUAACUAUGAUAUUUUUCUUCUGACAUAAAAUAAUUAAUUGCAAAUGUUUGCUACAUAAAAACUUAGAAUAAUUAAUAAUGUGUGUAUAAAAUGAUUUAUAAAUGAAAACACAAAUUAAAUCAUAUACUUAAUUAUUGAUAAAUUAUGACAUGUAAUAUUCUUUAUUCUCUUUAACCAACUUGUUUGUAUGCGUAUAUGGAUAUUGUUUGUUAAAUUACCUUAAAAUUGAAUGUUCAAUGGAUCUAUGAAAUAAUAUGCUUUCAAUUUUCUUUCGACACUUGUCUCAUGCAUGACCCUAUUUAAAAAGUAAUGCAAAUGUCAAAAUUUUAUGUUAAAGUAUGAGAACGAUGAAUUAUGGAAUCUCGUCUAUCAUACUAAAUAAUCUUUUUCAUUUCCAUUUAGUUAGAUUUGCAAAUAAGAGUGUUAGAUUACAUUAUUUUAUUUCCUCUGAAUACUAUGUUGUAUGAUAUA